GAAACCAGGUGAUCUAGCCAUGGGCAGGUUGAAGGUUGAGUAACAUCAACUGGAGGACCGAACCGACUAAUGUUGAAAAAUUAGCGGAUGACUUGUGGCUAGGGGUGAAAGGCCAAUCAAACCUGGAGAUAGCUGGUUCUCCCCGAAAGCUAUUUAGGUAGCGCCUCGGACGAAUACUACUGGGGGUAGAGCACUGUUAAGGCUAGGGGGUCAUCCCGACUUACCAACCCUUUGCAAACUCCGAAUACCAGUAAGUACUAUCCGGGAGACACACGGCGGGUGCUAACGUCCGUCGUGGAGAGGGAAACAACCCAGACCGCCAGCUAAGGUCCCAAAUUACUACUAAGUGGGAAACGAUGUGGGAAGGCUCAGACAGCCAGGAUGUUGGCUUAGAAGCAGCCAUCAUUUAAAGAAAGCGUAAUAGCUCACUGGUCGAGUCGGCCUGCGCGGAAGAUGUAACGGGGCUAAGUAGUAAACC
Molecule: ribosomal RNA, 478 nt
Filed under: Vibrio parahaemolyticus
Lineage: Bacteria; Pseudomonadati; Pseudomonadota; Gammaproteobacteria; Vibrionales; Vibrionaceae
Description: partial 23S ribosomal RNA
Rfam family: Bacterial large subunit ribosomal RNA
Source: RNAcentral